UCGUGCGCGAACGUAAGUUGCGUUGAAGUGCCGGGUAUUUAAAUCGUGAAUUUCUCUAUGGUAAUUAGUGUAAGUAAAGUGUUUUACAGUGAAAUCAAAAGUGGAAAUAGUGUUUUAUCGAAAUCAUGCAAAAAGUUUGUACGGGAAGUGUUCGUUUAGUGUUAUUUUGUGAAAAUAAAAAUGUGCAAGUGAAAGAAAGGCUAAUUGAAGUGAAUAGCUAAAAAACCUGCGUUACUCACAUAAAAUACUUUCGCCGUUAAUGCAGGUUUUAUUGAAGUACAAGAAACGAAGAAAACUGUGGUAUACUUUUGGGCUGAGAACAGUCCAUUAACUGCAACUCUGUGGGUAAACAGAUGUCCGCCGCCAUAUUAAUCGUCUUCCGUCAGUUCCGUUUAUUCGUGCGCGAGCGUAAGUUGCGUUGAAAUGCCGGGUCAUUAAAUCGUGGAUUUCAAUAAAAUUUGUUUUUGUAAAAAAGUUUUAUAAAGUGCAAUUAAUAGUUUAAGUAAUGUUCUAUAGAAAUCGUGUAAAAAGUGUGUGCGGAAAGUGUGUAUUUAGUAUUAUUUUCAAAAUUAAACAACGCAGAAGCAAAUGGAAGAAAAGUUAGUUGAAGCGAAUGAGAAGAGGAACUGUUUUACCCACAUAUGGUGAUGUUGUUAAUGCAGUAUUGAUUGGAUUUGAACAGGAAAACUGAUGUAUACUCUUAGGCCAUAUUCAGGGAAUGGAUUAAACAACGUUGUUGUAAUCCUUUUGUUAUGCCAACCAACUCCCACUGCCAUUACACUAAUUAAAGACAUUUUUUCCAUAAUCCAACAAGCAACAACAAAGUGUCUGCGAGUGAGAAACAAAGAAGCAAAGAAAAAGUGAGA
Bactrocera dorsalis (oriental fruit fly) is the source of this 866-nucleotide long non-coding RNA. RefSeq lists it as uncharacterized. The transcript is spliced from 3 exons. NCBI's taxonomy places the organism in Eukaryota, Metazoa, Arthropoda, Insecta, Diptera, Tephritidae. The record is from RefSeq and is a predicted model, not a curated record.